Molecule: small nucleolar RNA, 107 nt
Organism: Coffea arabica (coffee)
Lineage: Eukaryota; Viridiplantae; Streptophyta; Magnoliopsida; Gentianales; Rubiaceae
Source: RefSeq, a predicted model, not a curated record
AUUUGAUAUUGUAGGCAUCUAGUACACAAUUUAUUGAACCUCUCCCAAUAGUCAUAUAGGAAUUCUCCAGGGUACUGCUUAAUGUUGCAAAUCUCCUUUCUCAGGCU